RNAcentral lists this non-coding RNA (188 nucleotides) under Bacteroidales bacterium. Lineage: Bacteria; Pseudomonadati; Bacteroidota; Bacteroidia; Bacteroidales. The record is from RNAcentral.
AUACUUUUGCAGGGCAAUGGUUCCGGAAACGGAUAAUAGGGAAAGUCGUGCAAUUCGGCUGCAGUUCCCGCUGCUGUAAGCUCUUUAAACGGUUUCAACAGAAUGCCACUGUCUAUCCCCAAACUGACGGGAAGGCGUUGAAAACAAACGGAGUAAGCCAGAAGACCUGCCAUUUGCCUUGUGGAUUU